CCGUUGAAUGAUCCAUUGACAUUUCUCUCUUUACAACAUUUCAGUUUCGUUUAUUGUAGUAUCAUUAAGUUUCCUGCCUGUCCAGACCGCUGUGCUUCAUGCGCAAUACAUUGAGAAUUUCAGUACAGUACAUAGGAAAUGACUCAUAGGAGUUCAACUGUUAGCGUGGGUGUGUACUCUAUUAAAACAAGGCUCAGACUACUCCCCAACACGGUGUGUUCAUCAGAUGAACUUUCGGGAAUUGCGUUUAUACAAGAACGAUGGCUUCAUACAUUCUCUGUGCGCUUUGUGGACUGAUCAUUGCGACAAUUGUGAAACUAAACGGAGUGAAUGGGCAAAGCCUAUGCACCAGUAAAGAGUUCUGGAGUUCAGACAUAGACCAAUGCGUAUCCUGCUCAACAUGCAAGCAGUAUCCAAAGACCCCUUCAUGUAACACUUGCACAUUUACAGAGGAGAGAUCUGAUGUCUGGAGACUUGCAGCUAUUUCCAGUUUCUCUGUGCUGGCAGUUGUUCUGCUCAUUGCAGUAUUGAUCAUUGGGGUCAUGGUGCAUCGAUGCACAGCAAACAAUAGGCCCCUUCGUGGUAGGGCUCACGGCUACCAUCUCCUGAUAAACUAACAUUAACCUAUUGAAGAGACAACGGGACCUCUUUACCAAGCUUAAACAUUUCAGUAGCUUCAUCUUCCUCCUGACAUCGAUGUGACAGAACCAAGGGAACACCUUUUGAGGACCAAUCGUCAGAAGAAUUUCUGUACAAUGGACUGACAAUGACCCACAACACACCUCCAGGCUGUGUAUGUGCUAUUUUACCAAGAAGGAGAGUGAUGGAGUGCUGCAUCAGAUGACCUGGCCUCCACAAUCCCCCGACCUCAACCAAAUUGAGAUGGUUUGGGAUGAGUCGGACCGCAGAGUAAAGUAAAACCAGCCAACAAGGGCUCAGUAUAUUUGGGAACUCCUUCAAGACUAUUGGAAAAGCAUUCCAGAUGAAGUUGGUUGAGAGAAUGCCAAGAGUGUGCAAUGAUGUCAAGGCAAAGGGUGGCUACUUUGAAGAAUCUCAAAUAUAAAAUAUAUUUUGAUUUAACACUUUUUUUGGUUAUUACAUGAUUCCAUGUGUUAUUUCAUAGUUUUGAUGUCUUCACUAUUAUUCUACAAUGUAGAAAAUAGUAAAAAUAAAGGAAAACCCUGGAAUGAGUAGGUGUUCUAAAACUUUUGACCGGUAGUGUAUUUUGGUUGAAUGCAUUGUUGUGCAACUUACUCAGUAUUCCCUUUCCUCAGUUGAAACAAUGGAGAUGAGUCAAUGCUUGUGACAAUGUUUGUAACACUAUUAGUCACCAAAUGUUAACCCAGGAAGGAACAUUAUGGUUUAGCGAAAAAACUAACUGAACCCUAUUGACAAGUAUAACCAUAGUUUGAAGCUGAGUACACAGUUAUACUAAGUCAGAACACAAUUUUAAGGGUUGUGUGUCAGGAGAAUGUGGAUGGCUGAAUAAUUACCUAUUUCAUGUUACUGACAAUUACUUCGUUAUCAAUAUUAAGUGGAUAUGGAUAAAAGCAGCAAGAAAAGGACAAUGUGUAUACAGAAUUAUUUAUUUUGAAUUAUAUUUUUGAAUGUUUAUAGUUUGUGGUAACAGUUAAAUGUCUGGAUAAAUACUGUCAAAGGGACCCCUGCAAAGUUGUUUAUAAAACCAGUGACACCAGCUGACCAACUUUUUGUUACUGAGCAAUAACUAACAAGUUGUUAGUUAAUUUUUUUGUUUGUUUGUUUGGUUUAUGUACAUGGGUUAGUGUAGUAAUAAGCAAUGUUACAUGUGAACUCUGGCUGACUUUUGUGUAUUAUGUUAAGAAUAAAAUGAGCUGAUUUCUAGAUA
Molecule: non-coding RNA, 1867 nt
Organism: Salmo salar (Atlantic salmon)
Lineage: Eukaryota; Metazoa; Chordata; Actinopteri; Salmoniformes; Salmonidae
Source: RefSeq, a predicted model, not a curated record